AGCGAACGCUGGCGGCAGGCUUAACACAUGCAAGUCGAGCGGGCACUUCGGUGUCAGCGGCAGACGGGUGAGUAACACGUGGGAACGUACCCUUUGGUUCGGAAUAACGCUGGGAAACUAGCGCUAAUACCGGAUACGCCCUUUUGGGGAAAGGCUUGCUGCCGAAGGAUCGGCCCGCGUCUGAUUAGCUAGUUGGUGGGGUAAUGGCCUACCAAGGCGACGAUCAGUAGCUGGUCUGAGAGGAUGAUCAGCCACACUGGGACUGAGACACGGCCCAGACUCCUACGGCAGGCAGCAGUGGGGAAUAUUGGACAAUGGGCGCAAGCCUGAUCCAGCCAUGCCGCGUGAGUGAUGAAGGCCUUAGGGUUGUAAAGCUCUUUUGUCCGGGACGAUAAUGACGGUACCGGAAGAAUAAGCCCCGGCUAACUUCGUG
RNAcentral lists this ribosomal RNA (433 nucleotides) under uncultured bacterium. RNAcentral describes it as "partial 16S ribosomal RNA". It matches the Rfam family "Bacterial small subunit ribosomal RNA", at positions 29 to 507 of the family's 1533-position model. The record is from RNAcentral.